This 255-nucleotide ribosomal RNA is filed under the name uncultured archaeon. RNAcentral's name for it is "partial 16S ribosomal RNA". It matches the Rfam family "Archaeal small subunit ribosomal RNA", at positions 748 to 1009 of the family's 1478-position model. The record is from RNAcentral.
CAGCCGUAAACUAUGCUCGCUAGGUGUCAGGCAUGGCGCGACCGUGUCUGGUGCCGCAGGGAAGCCGUGAAGCGAGCCACCUGGGAAGUACGGCCGCAAGGCUGAACUAAGGAUUGGCGGGGAGCACAACAACGGGUGGAGCCUGCGGUUUAAUGGACUCAACGCCGGACAACUCACCGGGGACGACAGCAAUAUGUAGGCCAGGCUGAAGACCUUGCCUGAAUCGCUGAGAGGAGGUGCAUGGCGUAGACGUCU